AAUCAACGCUGGCGGCGUGCCUCAGACAUGCAAGUCGAACGCUGCUGUUCGCCUUCGGGUGGACAGCGGAGUGGCGCACGGGUGAGUAACACGUAGGUAAUCUACCUUUGGGUGGGAAUAACAGCCGGAAACGGCUGCUAAUACCGCAUAAUGCAGCGGCAUCACAUGAUGACAGUUGUUAAAGCGAGGGAUCGUAAGACCUCGCGCCUGAAGAGGAGCCUGCGGCAGAUUAGGUAGUUGGUGAGGUAAUGGCUCACCAAGCCUGCGAUCUGUAACCGGCCUGAGAGGGCGGUCGGUCACACUGACACUGACAUACGGGUCAGACUCCUACGGGAGGCAGCAGUCGGGAAUUUU
Molecule: ribosomal RNA, 354 nt
Filed under: uncultured bacterium
Lineage: Bacteria
Description: bacterial SSU rRNA
Rfam family: Bacterial small subunit ribosomal RNA
Source: RNAcentral